Non-coding RNA from Acanthosepion pharaonis, 114 nucleotides. The record is from the annotation of a GenBank genome assembly. Lineage: Eukaryota; Metazoa; Mollusca; Cephalopoda; Sepiida; Sepiidae.
UUACGGCCAUAUCACGUUGAAACACCGGUUCUCGUACAAUCACGGAAGUUAAGCAACGUCGAGCAUGGUCAUUAUCAAGAUGGCUGACCACUUGGGUAUGCCAGUUGUUGCAAG